GAUGAACGCUAGCGGCAGGCCUAAUACAUGCAAGUCGAACGAUAGAGAGGAGCUUGCUCUUCUCGAAAGUGGCGCACGGGUGCGUAACGCGUAUGCAACCUACCUUGAUCAGGGGGAUAGCCUCUCGAAAGAGAGAUUAACACCGCAUAACAUUAUUUUGUGGCAUCACAUGAUAAUCAAAUACUUAUAGGAUCAAGAUGGUGCAUGCGUGACAUUAGCUAGUUGGGCGGGGUAACCGGCCCACCAAGGCUACGAUGUCGUAGGGAUCUGAGAGGAU
This 277-nucleotide ribosomal RNA is filed under the name uncultured bacterium. RNAcentral's name for it is "partial 16S ribosomal RNA". It matches the Rfam family "Bacterial small subunit ribosomal RNA", at positions 28 to 301 of the family's 1533-position model. The record is from RNAcentral.